This 305-nucleotide ribosomal RNA is filed under the name uncultured Pseudomonadota bacterium. RNAcentral's name for it is "bacterial SSU rRNA". It matches the Rfam family "Bacterial small subunit ribosomal RNA", at positions 29 to 351 of the family's 1533-position model. The record is from RNAcentral. Lineage: Bacteria; Pseudomonadati; Pseudomonadota.
AACGAACGCUGGCGGCAGGCUUAACACAUGCAAGUCGAACGAGAAGCUGACUUCGGUCAGUGGAAAGUGGCAGACGGGUGAGUAACGCGUGGGAAUCUACCUAGAGGUACGGAACAACUCAGGGAAACUUGAGCUAAUGCCGUAUGUGCCCUUCGGGGGAAAGAUUAAUCGCCUUUAGAUGAGCCCGCGUUGGAUUAGCUUGUUGGUGGGGUAACGGCCUACCAAGGCAACGAUCCAUAGCUGGUCUGAGAGGAUGAUCAGCCACACUGGGACUGAGACACGGCCCAGACUCCUACGGGAGGCUG